This 567-nucleotide ribosomal RNA is filed under the name uncultured bacterium. Its description in RNAcentral is "bacterial SSU rRNA". It matches the Rfam family "Bacterial small subunit ribosomal RNA", at positions 843 to 1411 of the family's 1533-position model. The record is from RNAcentral.
GUGCCGCAGCUAACGCAUUAAGCACUCCGCCUGGGGAGUACGACCGCAAGGUUGAAACUCAAAGGAAUUGACGGGGGCCCGCACAAGCGGUGGAGCAUGUGGUUUAAUUCGAAGCUACGCGAAGAACCUUACCAGGUCUUGACAUCUUGCGCCAACCCUAGAGAUAGGGCGUUUCCUUCGGGAACGCAAUGACAGGUGGUGCAUGGUCGUCGUCAGCUCGUGUCGUGAGAUGUUGGGUUAAGUCCCGCAACGAGCGCAACCCUUGUUACUAGUUGCCAGCAUUCAGUUGGGCACUCUAGUGAGACUGCCGGUGACAAACCGGAGGAAGGUGGGGACGACGUCAGAUCAUCAUGCCCCUUAUGACCUGGGCUACACACGUGCUACAAUGGACGGUACAACGAGUCGCGAACUCGCGAGGGCAAGCUAAUCUCUUAAAACCGUUCUCAGUUCGGACUGCAGGCUGCAACUCGCCUGCACGAAGUCGGAAUCGCUAGUAAUCGCGGAUCAGCAUGCCGCGGUGAAUACGUUCCCGGGCCUUGUACACACCGUCCGUCACACCAUGAGAGU